RNAcentral lists this ribosomal RNA (406 nucleotides) under uncultured prokaryote. RNAcentral describes it as "bacterial SSU rRNA". It matches the Rfam family "Bacterial small subunit ribosomal RNA", at positions 355 to 776 of the family's 1533-position model. The record is from RNAcentral.
UGGGGAAUAUUGGGCAAUGGGGGGAACCCUGACCCAGCAACGCCGCGUGAAGGAAGAAGGUUUUCGGAUUGUAAACUUCUGUCCUUGGUGAAGAGGAAGAGACGGUAGCCAAGGAGGAAGCCCCGGCUAACUACGUGCCAGCAGCCGCGGUAACACGUAGGGGGCGAGCGUUGUCCGGAAUUACUGGGCGUAAAGAGCGCGUAGGUGGUUAAGUAAGUCAGGUGUGAAAGGCCAGGGCUCAACCCUGGGAUUGCACUUGAAACUGUUUAACUUGAGGGCAGGAGAGGUAAGUGGAAUUCCUGGUGUAGCGGUGAAAUGCGUAGAUAUCAGGAGGAACACCAGUGGCGAAGGCGACUUACUGGCCUGGCUCUGACACUGAGGCGCGAAAGCGUGGGGAGCGAACAGG